Molecule: ribosomal RNA, 530 nt
Filed under: Salmonella enterica
Lineage: Bacteria; Pseudomonadati; Pseudomonadota; Gammaproteobacteria; Enterobacterales; Enterobacteriaceae
Description: bacterial SSU rRNA
Rfam family: Bacterial small subunit ribosomal RNA
Source: RNAcentral
GAGAUGAGAAUGUGCCUUCGGGAACCGUGAGACAGGUGCUGCAUGGCUGUCGUCAGCUCGUGUUGUGAAAUGUUGGGUUAAGUCCCGCAACGAGCGCAACCCUUAUCCUUUGUUGCCAGCGAUUAGGUCGGGAACUCAAAGGAGACUGCCAGUGAUAAACUGGAGGAAGGUGGGGAUGACGUCAAGUCAUCAUGGCCCUUACGACCAGGGCUACACACGUGCUACAAUGGCGCAUACAAAGAGAAGCGACCUCGCGAGAGCAAGCGGACCUCAUAAAGUGCGUCGUAGUCCGGAUUGGAGUCUGCAACUCGACUCCAUGAAGUCGGAAUCGCUAGUAAUCGUGGAUCAGAAUGCCACGGUGAAUACGUUCCCGGGCCUUGUACACACCGCCCGUCACACCAUGGGAGUGGGUUGCAAAAGAAGUAGGUAGCUUAACCUUCGGGAGGGCGCUUACCACUUUGUGAUUCAUGACUGGGGUGAAGUCGUAACAAGGUAACCGUAGGGGAACCUGCGGUUGGAUCACCUCCUUA